RNAcentral lists this ribosomal RNA (429 nucleotides) under Chloroflexota bacterium. Its description in RNAcentral is "Chloroflexi bacterium partial 16S ribosomal RNA". It matches the Rfam family "Bacterial small subunit ribosomal RNA", at positions 355 to 776 of the family's 1533-position model. The record is from RNAcentral. Lineage: Bacteria; Bacillati; Chloroflexota.
UGGGGAAUAUUGCACAAUGGGCGCAAGCCUGAUGCAGCCAUGCCGCGUGUGUGAAGAAGGCCUUCGGGUUGUAAAGCACUUUCAGCGGGGAGGAAGGCGUUAAGGUUAAUAACCUUGGCGAUUGACGUUACCCGCAGAAGAAGCACCGGCUAACUCCGUGCCAGCAGCCGCGGUAAUACGGAGGGUGCAAGCGUUAAUCGGAAUUACUGGGCGUAAAGCGCACGCAGGCGGUCUGUCAAGUCGGAUGUGAAAUCCCCGGGCUCAACCUGGGAACUGCAUUCGAAACUGGCAGGCUAGAGUCUUGUAGAGGGGGGUAGAAUUCCAGGUGUAGCGGUGAAAUACGUAGAGAUCUGGAGGAAUACCGGUGGCGAAGGCGGCCCCCUGGACAAAGACUGACGCUCAGGUGCGAAAGCGUGGGGAGCAAACAGG